This 474-nucleotide ribosomal RNA is filed under the name Triticum aestivum (bread wheat). RNAcentral describes it as "partial small subunit ribosomal RNA". Lineage: Eukaryota; Viridiplantae; Streptophyta; Magnoliopsida; Poales; Poaceae. The record is from RNAcentral.
AUGUGGGCUCCUCCGAAGUGUAAUUUUUUUGCUUGGUUGAUCUUCCAGAAUCGUGUUUGGACAGCCGAUCGUUUGCUGCGCCGAGGUUGGCCAAACUGUAAUUUGUGCCCUCUCUGCAAGCAAGUGCAAGAAUCUGCUACUCACCUCCUAUCCCAAUGUAGGUUCACUGUCCGGAUUUGGACUGAAAUUUGCACUUGGCUUGGCAUGCUUGACUCAUCACCAAUGAUUUGGCGUCAUGAAGACUCAGUUAAAGAUUGGUGGCUUAAGGCGGUUAGUGGGGGAGGUGACCACAGGAAGGCCACCGCCUCCUUGAUGAUGCUUGUCUCAUGGGAAAUUUGGAAGGAGCGCAAUGCAAGAAUUUUUCAGAAUGUCUUCGCUCCGACCUCUAUUGUUAUUGCGAAAAUCAAGGAGGAGGCUCAUCUUUGGACUUUGGCAGGAGCGAAACAGCUUAGUAUUGUUAUGUCGCGAAAGUAG